CCCUUAGAUGUUCUGGGCCGCACGCGCGCUACACUGACGAAUGCAACGAGCUUAUAACCUUGGCCGAAAGGUCUGGGUAACCUCCAAAUUUCGUCGUGAUGGGGAUAGAUUAUUGCAAUUAUUAAUCUUCAACGAGGAAUGCCUAGUAAGCGCAAGUCAUCAGCUUGCGUUGAUUACGUCCCUGCCCUUUGUACACACCGCCCGUCGCUCCUACCGAUUGAAUGGUCCGGUGAAGCGUUCGGACCGUGGCCUUUGGACGGUUCGCCGUCUGUUGGCUGCGGGAAGUUCGCUAAACCUUAUCAUUUAGAGGAAGGAGAAGUCGUANCA
Molecule: ribosomal RNA, 327 nt
Filed under: uncultured eukaryote
Lineage: Eukaryota
Description: partial 18S ribosomal RNA
Rfam family: Eukaryotic small subunit ribosomal RNA
Source: RNAcentral